UACGUUCCCGGACCUUGUACACACCGCCCGUCAAGCCAUGGAAGUUGGGAGGACCUGAAGCCAGUUGCUGUAGGGCGCUGUUUAGGGUUAAACCAAUGACUGGGGCU
This 107-nucleotide ribosomal RNA is filed under the name uncultured bacterium. RNAcentral describes it as "partial 16S ribosomal RNA". It matches the Rfam family "Bacterial small subunit ribosomal RNA", at positions 1367 to 1482 of the family's 1533-position model. The record is from RNAcentral.